This 75-nucleotide transfer RNA is filed under the name Chloroflexaceae bacterium. Its description in RNAcentral is "tRNA-Phe". It matches the Rfam family "tRNA". From Rfam's summary of the family: Transfer RNA (tRNA) molecules are approximately 80 nucleotides in length. Their secondary structure includes four short double-helical elements and three loops (D, anti-codon, and T loops). Lineage: Bacteria; Bacillati; Chloroflexota; Chloroflexia; Chloroflexales; Chloroflexaceae. The record is from RNAcentral.
CCAUCCGUAGCUCAGCGGCAGAGCACUGGUCUGAAACACCGGGGGUCGCAGGAUCGAAACCUGCCGGAUGGACCA